GCAUCUUUAGCUCAGUGGCAGAGCACUGGUCUUGUAAACCAGGGGUCGUGAGUUCAAUCCUUACAGGAGGCA
This 72-nucleotide transfer RNA is filed under the name Lucilia cuprina (Australian sheep blowfly). It matches the Rfam family "tRNA". From Rfam's summary of the family: Transfer RNA (tRNA) molecules are approximately 80 nucleotides in length. Their secondary structure includes four short double-helical elements and three loops (D, anti-codon, and T loops). Lineage: Eukaryota; Metazoa; Arthropoda; Insecta; Diptera; Calliphoridae. The record is from Rfam by way of RNAcentral.